CCUCAGUAACGGCGAGUGAAGCGGCAAAAGCUCAAAUUUGAAAUCUGGCUCCUUACGGGGGUCCGAGUUGUAAUUUGAAGAAGCGACUUUGGUGUGGGCUCUUGUCUAUGUUCCUUGGAACAGGACGUCACAGAGGGUGAGAAUCCCGUGCGAUGAGAAGCCCAUUGCCGUGUAAAGCGUUUUCGACGAGUCGAGUUGUUUGGGAAUGCAGCUCUAAGUGGGUGGUAAAUUCCAUCUAAAGCUAAAUAUUGGCGAGAGACCGAUAGCGAACAAGUACAGUGAUGGAAAGAUGAAAAGAACUUUGAAAAGAGAGUGAAAAAGUACGUGAAAUUGUUGAAAGGGAAGGGCUUGAGAUCAGACUUUGUUUUUCCAUGGUGUUCUUUCGGGGAUGCCCUCUGGGUCUACAGGGCCAGCAUGGGUUCUGCGGGCGAGACAAUAGCGCAGGAAUGUGGCUCUGCUUCGGUGGAGUGUUAUAGCCUGUGCAGAUGUCGCCACGCGGGACCGAGGACUGCGGUACUAGGAUGCUGGCAUAAUGAUCUUAAGCCGCCCGUCUUGAAACACGGACCAAGGAGUCUAACGUCUAUGCGAGUGUUUGGGUGUCAAACCCGUACGCGGAAUGAAAGUGAACGUAGGUGAGAGCCCUUUCGGGGGCGCAUCAUCGACCGAUCCUGAUGUCUUCAGAUGGAUUUGAGUAAGAGCAUAGCUGUUGGGACCCGAAAGAUGGUGAACUAUGCCUGAAUAGGGUGAAGCCAGAGGAAACUCUGGUGGAGGCUCGUAGCGG
RNAcentral lists this ribosomal RNA (781 nucleotides) under Suhomyces pyralidae. RNAcentral describes it as "LSU rRNA". It matches the Rfam family "Eukaryotic large subunit ribosomal RNA", at positions 78 to 883 of the family's 3401-position model. The record is from RNAcentral. Lineage: Eukaryota; Fungi; Ascomycota; Pichiomycetes; Serinales; Debaryomycetaceae.